RNAcentral lists this ribosomal RNA (547 nucleotides) under uncultured bacterium. Its description in RNAcentral is "bacterial SSU rRNA". It matches the Rfam family "Bacterial small subunit ribosomal RNA", at positions 777 to 1320 of the family's 1533-position model. The record is from RNAcentral.
AAUAGAUACCCAGGUAGUCCACGCCGUAAACGGUGGGUACUAGGUGUGGGUUUCCUUCCUUGGGAUCCGUGCCGUAGCUAACGCAUUAAGUACCCCGCCUGGGGAGUACGGCCGCAAGGCUAAAACUCAAGGGAAUUGACGGGGGGCCCGCACAAGCGGCGGAGCAUGUGGAUUAAUUCGAUGCAACGCGAAGAACCUUACCUGGGUUUGACAUGCACAGGACGCCGGCAGAGAUGUCGGUUCCCUUGUGGCCUGUGUGCAGGUGGUGCAUGGCUGUCGUCAGCUCGUGUCGUGAGAUGUUGGGUUAAGUCCCGCAACGAGCGCAACCCUUGUCCUAUGUUGCCAGCGGGUUAUGCCGGGGACUCGUAGGAGACUGCCGGGGUCAACUCGGGAGGAAGGUGGGGAUGGCGUCAAGUCAUCAUGCCCCUUAUGUCCAGGGCUUCACACAUGCUACAACGGCCGGUACAAAGGGCUGCGAUGCCGUGAGGUGGAGCGAAUCCUUGGUAAAGCCGGUCUCAGUUCGGAUCGGGGUCUGCAACUGACCCCG